GCCUAACACAUGCAAGUCGAGGGGCAGCAUGGCGGUUGCUUGCAACCGCCGAUGGCGACCGGCGAAUGGGUGAGUCACGCGUGUCCAACCUGCCCCUGUCCCGGGGAUAGCCCUUGGAAAUGAGGAUUAAGACCCGAUAUGUGCGGCGCCCGCAUGGAUGCCGCAUGAAACCCGGACAGGGAUGGGGACGCGUCGGAUUAGCUUGACGGCGGGGCGACGGCCCACCGUGGCGACGAUCCGCAGGGGUUCUGAGAGGAAGGUCCCCCACACUGGCACUGAGACACGGGCCAGACUCCUACGGGAGGCAGCAGUGAGGAAUAUUGGUCAAUGGGCGUAAGCCUGAACCAGCCAAGUAGCGUGCAGGACGACGGCCCUACGGGUUGUAAACUGCUUUUGCGGGAGGAUAACCGGCGCCACGUGUGGCGCCCUGCAGGUAUCCCGUGAAUAAGGACCGGCUAAUUCCGUGCCAGCAGCCGCGGUAAUACGGAAGGUCCGGGCGUUAUCCGGAUUUAUUGGGUUUAAAGGGAGCGCAGGCGGAGGCGCAAGCGUGCCGUUAAAGUGCGGGGCUCAACCCCGUUUUGCGGCGCGAACUGC
This 594-nucleotide ribosomal RNA is filed under the name uncultured rumen bacterium. Its description in RNAcentral is "bacterial SSU rRNA". It matches the Rfam family "Bacterial small subunit ribosomal RNA", at positions 46 to 636 of the family's 1533-position model. The record is from RNAcentral.